CGUGUAGGUGGUCGGGUAAGCCAGAUGUGAAAGCCUUCUGCUUAACAGAAGAAGUGCAUUUGAAACUGCUCGGCUAGAGUACGGGAGAGGAGAGUGGAAUUCCCGGUGUAGAGGUGAAAUUCGUAGAUAUCGGGAGGAACACCAGUGGCGAAGGCGGCUCUCUGGUCCGAUACUGACGCUGAGACGCGAAAGCGUGGGAGCAAACAGGAUUAGAUACCCUGGUAGUCCACGCCGUAAACGAUGGGCACUAGGUGUAGGAGGUAUUGACCCCUUCUGUGCCGAAGCUAACGCAUUAAGUGCCCCGCCUGGGAGUACGGCCGCAAGGCUAAA
RNAcentral lists this ribosomal RNA (330 nucleotides) under uncultured bacterium. RNAcentral describes it as "bacterial SSU rRNA". It matches the Rfam family "Bacterial small subunit ribosomal RNA", at positions 568 to 898 of the family's 1533-position model. The record is from RNAcentral.